AUGUGACAUCUUCUUACAUAAUAUUAUAAAAUUAUUUUUAGAUGAUAUUGUUGAGUGUUUUCAAGUUAGGGGUUAGAUUAGAAGAACUCUAAAGUCUUUUUUUAACUCUGAUUCCAUGAGAUCACAACUUUAUAAAUCUUUAUUUUCUUCCAUGAGAAGAGAGAUAUUUCUUGUGUCAUCUUUGUAGAUACCCUUCUAUGCCCUUCCAGUGUAUUGAUAGCAAAUAUUUAAAUAGCAUUUGCUUUGUGUUCAUCACUGUCUUAAGUACUUUACAAUUAUCACAUUUAAUCUACACAAUAUGCUUGGGUAGUGGGUCCCAUUAAUAUCCUCAUUUUACAUUUGAAGAAAUUGAAUCAAAUAGAGGUUAAGUACUUUGCCCAGUUUCACAAAAUUAGUGUUUUAAAUCAAAUUUAAAUUUAGGUCUUCUCAAUUCCAUGCCUUAUAUUCUAUCUACUCUUUCACUUUGCUGCCAACCAUAGGGCCUGAAAUUUUCAUCAUACUUAUCAUAGCUCUAAUAAUGAUAUUAUAUUCUGAUGACCAUUAUAACAAGACAUUUUCCAUUGUUUGGAUCCAUAUGUUAGUAGCCAUUUUUAUAUCAACAUGGAUUAGGUAAUUCAGACAACUUUGUAACAUGUAACAGCGAAGCAGGUCUUAAGACAAUGAUACAUGAGACUUUACAUGUGUGUAUUUGUGUAAGCUUUAUGGUGUGGAAAGAAAGUUUGGAGAAGUCUGAAGGCUUGUGGACUGGUAUAGGGUUCUAAUAUUGCACGAUGAGUAUCCUGGAGGAAAUAAGAGGCAAGAGAAAAUCAGCUGUUUUCAGGGAUAAAUGUAUGGGUUUUGAUAUCAAAGGAUUUGGACAAUGAAUGAUAAGAAUAAAUAAAGGAGAAGAUGGAUAAAAGUAAUUCCUUUAAGUCAAACUUUGUCUUCUUCACAAAGUUACCUUUAUGGAGACUGGUUGGGUCCUCCUAUUCCAUGUCCAAUAUGCCUGCAAAGGAAGGGGAUAUACAAGAAGAGCUGCUGCUGAAUCAUGCCUCAGGAUUAUAUACUGUGUAGGUAGAGUGAUAAGAGUUUAUGUCCAUACACACUUAUCCUAACAUAUGUAGAGAUUUAAUCUUUGAAAUGCUAAAUGGAAAAAAAUAUGAAGUCUAUGAUAUUUAUUGUUUCAAUGCUGCCUUUAAACAGUAUGUUACUGUUUUAAAAGGGCUUAUAUAUCUGACAAUGUAAUAGAGAAUAUUGUAUAUGUUCUUAUAAUAGUCUUAAAAUGAUCUCAUUCUAGCUAGUAGUUAAGUAUAUACAUUAUAGUUUAGAAUUGUCACUUUCUUAAUAUAAGUAUUUUAAUGUAUUGUCUAUUUUUUUAAACUGAUCUCUUUAAAAAUGUUUAUUUGCUUCUUUUUUGUUACCUAGAUUGGAACUAAAAUAGCCAUUCAUGGGUCCAAUCUCACUAACAAUUAAAAUGGAAGUUCUGACCUGCUCCAUUUCUUAUCUGGGUCAGUUUGCCCCUCCUGAGACAGCUUCCUUGCUCUCCAGUCCUGGAGACUCAUUAUAUUGGGAAUAGAAUUAUUCAAACAGCUUAAUGGAGUUUAGAAUUCUCAAACUCAAAUUAUUCAUUAAUCAUAGCCUUUUAUCCUUGGUAGCAAGGAUUACAGAAUUGUGUCACCAUACCCCAUCACUGCAUACUUAAAAACAGUAUAAUCAGUAUUUUUUAAUUGGCUAAUGCUGAGAGAAUGAAAUAAUGUCUGUCUUUCAGCAGUAUUUUUUGGUUGUUUCAAUUAUACUUGAUUUUUGUGACAGCAUUUAGAGUUUUCUUAGCAAAGAUACUAGAGUGGUUUGCCAUGUCUUUCUCAAGAUCACUUUACAAUUGAUGAAACUGAGGGAAAAAGGUUUAAGUUACAGCUAGUAAGUGUUUGAAGUCAGGUUUGUACUGUGGAAGUUGAGUCUUCUUGACUGUAACACUAGAACUCUAUUCAGUACAACAGUUAACUGCCCUAGAGACCUAGAUUUCAUUUAUUGAUGAAAAGUAAGUUUGAAAAUAAAAUUUAAAUCCUAAUUAAUCUAAUAUUUAAAGUCAAUGUGAUUUCACUACUGAAGUCUCUUUCUCCACUAACUGUUCUGUAUCUUACAAGAGGAUUUUUAAGGGAGCCCCCCUUAAGGCUGAUGUGACCAUAACCUUCUUCUUCCUUAGUCAGAAUGGUCUUUGGACAAUAGAUAGUCUAUUACUAGGGGUUUUUGUUUUUUUCUUAAUUGGACCUACUAAAGGAUUAUCUCCAUGUCCUGUUAUAGAUAUCAGCAGAUGACUAUAGUGAAUGAGGGGGGUUAGUUAAUUUUGAAAAUCUAAUAAUGUAAUUAAUUUCCCAAUCCUGACUGAAUAUGGUGGUGAUUUCCACGGAAAUCAAUUUGUAUAUUAAAAAAUAUACUAAUGGAAAAUUUUUAAACAUUAGAUUUUCCUAUUUUGCUCAGGAUAGGUCCCACAAUUUAAAUGGCAAGGAAAAAAGUAUUCUUUCUUUUUUCCUUCUCAACAUAGAAGUGAUGCUUUUUAGUAUUAAAUAUGGUGGCAUCUGGAGAAUUCCUGAAUGAACAGAUGAAACUUUGACUUUAUAGUUCUGGCAACAUUCACUUAACUCAUGAUGAUAUCAGUUCUUCAUUUAUUGAAAUUAAAAUUUAAAAUGGAAAAUGACAGAUCCUUAGAUAAUUAUUUUAGAACUAUUAGUUCUAAGUUUCAUAAGUAGGAAAUCAUCUGAUUCAAUUUUUCUUUGUUAUAAUGAAUAGCCAGCAGGAAUCCCCUUCUAGUGAUUAAGAGUAACAGUACUUUCAUUUUAUAUAAAUGAAGAAACUGAGGCCCAAAGAGGUUGUCACUUGCCCUAGGCUAGUUAGAAAGCACCAAUGUUAACAUUCAUGUUCAGAGUUUCCAAAUCCAAAUCAAUUAUUUCCAUUGCAUCAUCCUGCCUCCUUCUUGCCCUAUUAGUUUUUGUAUUUUAAAGUGAUUAGGAAUAUAGUAAGAAUCUUAUUUGAAUAGGGCUUACCCUGAGAAGCAUUAAGUAGUAUUUGGGGAUAAAUGUAUUUCCCCAAAUGUUAAUUCUUCAGCUUUAGAGAAUUUUUUUUUUAACUAUUCUUCAUCCCAAAUAGUUUCUGUAUUUGUCACUGGUUUUAUUCAUGGUUCCUGGGACUACAGUGUACAUAUGUGAUCAAUGAAAGCUGACCUAUAUAUGCAAAUUAUUACUAUUGAUAAUUAAGCAUAAUUAUAUUUAAUUAAAUUAACAGAAAUAUAAAUAGCAAUUAAAUCAAUUUGUUUCUUAUUUAGUUAUAAGCUAUAAUUUUAAAACAUUUCUACAUUAAAAAGAAAAAUAUUGUCUAUAACAAUGAACUUAUAUUACAUGUGCAUAUAUACACAGAUUUACAUCUAUAUAUUAGUAUACUAAAUUUAACUUGAUUGAAACAAUACUUUCCUACUUAUCUACUUAACUUUUUGAAUUUUCUUGUGUUUCUCUUCUGUAGAUUUAAUUACUUUUUUAUUGUUAGUCUUUUCUUACUUUUCUACGUCCUCCCCCUCCAAAAAAAUCUCUCUUAUAACAUAUUAUUACCAAGCAAAACAGAUUUACUCACUUCCUGUGUUUGAAAGUGUGUUAUCUCUGGCCCAUCAUGAAUCUCUCAAAAUGCAGGAAUCAAACUUUAUAAUCACUUUGGAGUUAUGACUUGUCAUUGCAGUGAGAAUUCUUAAAAACUCCAAAGUUAUCCUUUUUUAAAAAAGCAUAUUAUAGUUACUAUAAAAUUCAAUCUCUGGUGUAUUUAUUCCACUUUGUAUCAGUUAAAUGCCCAAAAUUUAUGAACAAUGGUUUUUACAUUGUCGUUAUAAUUUUAUUUUCAAAAUGGUAGAGUAUAUAUUAAAACACUCCUUGGUCCAUUUAAUAUCUCCCAACAUAACUCCUAAGUUUCAGUAGGGACUCCUUGAUCACACUCAUAGAACUGAACUUCUGUAAUUUCUGAUAUUAGUAUCAUUUGAAAACCUAAUAAAAGCCUAGUUUGGGCUAAGUAGCAUGAAUAUAGAACUGAAGCCAAAAACGAAUCUUUAAAUUUGGUUAUCCUGUGUUUUAGGGCAGCUAGGUGGCCUAGAAAAUUGAGCACUGGUUUUGAAAUCAGGAAAAUUCAUCUACUUACUCAGACACUUACUAGUUGUGUGACCCUAGGUAAGUCACUUAACUCUGCUUGACUGGGUUACUCAUCUGUAAAGUAAGAUGGAAAAAUAAAUGGCAAACCACUUUAUUAUGUUUGCCAAGGAGGCCCCAAAAGGGCUCAUGAAGAGUUAGACAUGACAAAAAUGACAGCAAAAACUAUGUGCUACUUUAUAAAGACAGAAAAGUUAAUUAUGUUAAAGAUACAGGCUGUGUGUGUGUGUGUGUAUGUGUGUGUGUGUACUAGGAAGAUGCUAUAUUACUGAUGCAUUCAUAGAUUUUAUAUCUAAGACUGAAGGAUCUUUAGAGGCCUUUCUGUCCCCUUUAUCUUUCAUUUUAGGUAAAGAAAAAGAAUCAUGAACUUGUUAAGAGACUUGUCCAAAUAUAUAAAAAGGUAAAAUUUGAAUUCAGAUUUUCUUACUAAAAAUCCAUUUCUAUUAUUACUGUACUAUUCUACCUUUCAUUCAUUUUUCUAUUUGUAAAUACCUCAUUUUAUCCGAGCCAUUGAUGGAGAAAGAGUGAUCAAGGAUUAACAAGCAGAAACCAUCAGAAGCUUAAGUUUUCUAAAAAGUCAUUAAGGAAUUUGAAGAUUGAUGAUAUUCAACUAAGCAAUUCCUCAUGACAAAUUACCAAAGAAAAGAGAAUAACAAAACCAGUCAUCACAUCAGCCAUGCCUGAUUAUCUGUA
Molecule: long non-coding RNA, 4853 nt
Organism: Sarcophilus harrisii (Tasmanian devil)
Lineage: Eukaryota; Metazoa; Chordata; Mammalia; Dasyuromorphia; Dasyuridae
Exons: 2
Source: RefSeq, a predicted model, not a curated record